UUUGCCUACGGGGCGCAGCAGUGGGGAAUAUUGGGCAAUGGACGCAAGUCUGACCCAGCAACGCCGCGUGAAGGAAGAAAGCUUUCGGGUUGUAAACUUCUUUUAAGGGGGAAGAGAAGAAGACGGUACCCCUUGAAUAAGCCACGGCUAACUACGUGCCAGCAGCCGCGGUAAUACGUAGGUGGCAAGCGUUGUCCGGAUUUACUGGGUGUAAAGGGCGUGCAGCCGGAGAGGCAAGUCAGAUGUGAAUUCCGCGGGCUCAACCCGCGAACUGCAUUUGAAACUGCUUCCCUUGAGUAUCGGAG
RNAcentral lists this ribosomal RNA (305 nucleotides) under uncultured bacterium. Its description in RNAcentral is "bacterial SSU rRNA". It matches the Rfam family "Bacterial small subunit ribosomal RNA", at positions 334 to 654 of the family's 1533-position model. The record is from RNAcentral.